This 253-nucleotide ribosomal RNA is filed under the name uncultured bacterium. RNAcentral describes it as "partial 16S ribosomal RNA". It matches the Rfam family "Bacterial small subunit ribosomal RNA", at positions 524 to 776 of the family's 1533-position model. The record is from RNAcentral.
UACAGAGGGUGCGAGCGUUGUUCGGAAUCAUUGGGCGUAAAGCGCUUGUAGGCGGCUUGUUAAGUCGCGUGUGAAAUCCCUUGGCUCAACCAAGGAAGUGCGCGCGAAACUGGCGAGCUCGAGUGCCGGAGAGGGUCGCGGAAUUCCCGGUGUAGAGGUGAAAUUCGUAGAUAUUAGGAAGAACACCAGUGGCGAAGGCGGCUCACUGGCCCGGUACUGACGCUGAGGCACGAAAGCGUGGGGAGCAAACAGG